ACUCCUACGGGAGGCAGCAGUGGGGAAUAUUGGACAAUGGGCGCAAGCCUGAUCCAGCAAUGCCGCGUGUGUGAAGAAGGCCUUCGGGUUGUAAAGCACUUUUAUCAGGAACGAAAAGCGUUGGAUUAAUACUCUGACGUGCUGACGGUACCUGAGGAAUAAGCACCGGCUAACUUCGUGCCAGCAGCCGCGGUAAU
This 197-nucleotide ribosomal RNA is filed under the name uncultured bacterium. Its description in RNAcentral is "partial 16S ribosomal RNA". It matches the Rfam family "Bacterial small subunit ribosomal RNA", at positions 335 to 524 of the family's 1533-position model. The record is from RNAcentral.